Molecule: unclassified non-coding RNA, 796 nt
Filed under: Hevea brasiliensis (rubber tree)
Lineage: Eukaryota; Viridiplantae; Streptophyta; Magnoliopsida; Malpighiales; Euphorbiaceae
Source: RNAcentral
UGCUUGACCCCUUCUUGCUCUCACAUGAAUAUAGUCUUGCUUAGGUGGCUCGGAUAGGUUACUGUUUUGCUCAGAUGGCUUCUUAUUGGCAACAGAAUUUGGUUCUGCUUCAGCUUUUGAAUUGCUGCUCUCAUUCCGGGAUCCUGAUAUUUUCAUCCGCUUACCAUUUGAAUCAUUCAAUUCGUUGCCACUGCUGGAAGUAGAAACCAUCUUAAAUGACUCGUCUUCUGAGCUCAAAUCCUUCCUCUUCCUCACAUUCCCACCACCUCUGCCAACGCUCUGCUCCGUCACGGUGGAUUCCUCCACCGACCCAUCUCGCUCUCCAACUACCCCAGCCAAAUUCCCCAUUCGGAGACCCAACCCACCACCCCCGCCCGCCUGUCCAUUAAUUGAGGGAAAAGGCCAAAUCUCGGUCAAAGUGUAGGAAGAUGGAUUAGCUGCAGAGAAGGAGGUCUCAUUUAUCAAUGGAGGAUCCAUACUCUUCUCCUGAGUUCGAGCUCAUUCGAGAAGGCGGGCCUGGGAAUUCGAGACCCGAAUUGACGACUCUGAAUUAUAGAGGCACAAUUCAGCUUUUUUCUUUUUUUUUUUUCGCUUACUCGGUUUUGAGGAAUUUUGAGUGAGCCAGUGAGUUGAGGCUUAGAUGAUGGGUUAUUGAAGAAAUGAUUUGCAGAGAAGCGUGGCAGCAGCACAGGGUGAUAUUUUUCACUCGAGGAUGGAGAAGGCGGGCGCAUUACCGCCAACGGCGCAUUUUAUCCGCGAUAGGUCGGGUACGGUUUAUGAUCGAAACCGAACAAUG